Molecule: long non-coding RNA, 457 nt
Organism: Cucurbita maxima (winter squash)
Lineage: Eukaryota; Viridiplantae; Streptophyta; Magnoliopsida; Cucurbitales; Cucurbitaceae
Exons: 3
Source: RefSeq, a predicted model, not a curated record
GCCUGGUAGAAGAAGGAACAAGAGAAGUCUCUAAGAUACAACCUUGAAGGAAGAAGGUUGAUUAUGUCAAAACAUGUUGGGUACAAGGAAGGAAAUAUGCUCCAAAAUCUAAGGAAAAACACAAGGAUGACCAAGAAAGACUUAGAUAAUCGAGUAAGUUUAAGAUGCCCAAGAAAAGAUUAAGGGAUCGAACAAUAGGAUUAAGAGACCCAUAGAAGGUUAAUGGGCAAAAGGAAGAGAUUUUCAAUGCCCUAGCAAGGAAUUAUGUGGUUUGAAAAGGAAAUUUUAUUUACUCCAAGGAAAGAAGGAAAGAAGAACUUAAGACCCUAAGAACCCACCAAUAAGCCUUGUAGAAGAAGGAACAAGAGAAAUCUCUAAGAUACAACCUUGAAGGAAGAGGGUUGAUUAUGUCAAAACUUGUUGGGUACAAGGAAGGAAAUAUGCUCCAAUAUAUAAG